UUUCUGCUCUAGGAUUAUAGGGAUGGCUGCACACAUGACACCCCACGCUGGGCAGAUGAUAUUGACAGCUCUUGGAGUUCAUGCUGUGUUAGGAGGGAGCCUGGAGCAGCCUCCAUGAAGAUGAAAGAACAGAGAGUGAAGUCCAGAUGAAAGCCAAUGCUAACUUUCAGAUAGCAAUGUCUUCAAGAACAGAGAAGAAGCAAUUUGACCUUUAUUUUGGAGAAGGACAGUGGUGGGGGUGGUAUCCUUCUAUAUGGUGAUGGAGCAGCCAGACUCUUUCCAUCUUGGGGUACUGCCGUCUUCAGCAUGUGGCUUCCGAGGAUGCCAUCUAAGAAACAGAGAGUGCACUAUGCCAUAGCAUAAAGAAAGUAAUUGCUUGAUUGAAAAAGUACCAAGUUGAGAGAUACUAUUCAAUAAUGUACAAUGUCAUUUUCAACAAU
This is a long non-coding RNA of Canis lupus familiaris (dog), 440 nucleotides long. RefSeq lists it as uncharacterized. Lineage: Eukaryota; Metazoa; Chordata; Mammalia; Carnivora; Canidae. The transcript has 4 exons. The record is from RefSeq and is a predicted model, not a curated record.